This 491-nucleotide ribosomal RNA is filed under the name uncultured bacterium. RNAcentral describes it as "partial 16S ribosomal RNA". It matches the Rfam family "Bacterial small subunit ribosomal RNA", at positions 28 to 507 of the family's 1533-position model. The record is from RNAcentral.
GAUGAACGCUGGCUACAGGCUUAACACAUGCAAGUCGAGGGGAAACGCCGGGGAAGCUUGCUUCCCCGGGCGUCGACCGGCGCACGGGUGAGUAACGCGUAUCCAACCUGCCUCUGACUGAGGGAUAACCCGUCGAAAGUCGGCCUAAUACCUCAUGGCAUCGUCUGCGGGCAUCCAACGACGAUUAAAGAUUUCAUCGGUCAGAGAUGGGGAUGCGUCUGAUUAGCUUGUUGGCGGGGUAACGGCCCACCAAGGCGACGAUCAGUAGGGGUUCUGAGAGGAAGGUCCCCCACAUUGGAACUGGGACACGGUCCAAACUCCUACGGGAGGCAGCAGUGAGGAAUAUUGGUCAAUGGGCGAGAGCCUGAACCAGCCAAGUAGCGUGCAGGAUGACGGCCCUAUGGGUUGUAAACUGCUUUUAUGCGGGGAUAAAGUGAGGGACGUGUCCUUCAUUGCAGGUACCGCAUGAAUAAGGACCGGCUAAUUCCGUG